GUGGGGAAUCUUGCGCAAUGGGCGAAAGCCUGACGCAGCCAUGCCGCGUGAAUGAUGAAGGUCUUAGGAUUGUAAAAUUCUUUCACCGGGGACGAUAAUGACGGUACCCGGAGAAGAAGCUCCGGCUAACUUCGUGCCAGCAGCCGCGGUAAUACGAAGGGGGCUAGCGUUGCUCGGAAUUACUGGGCGUAAAGGGCGCGUAGGCGGACAGCUUAGUCAGAGGUGAAAGCCCAGGGCUCAACCUUGGAAUUGCCUUUGAUACUGGAGGUCUUGAGUUUGGGAGAGGUGAGUGGAACUCCGAGUGUAGAGGUGAAAUUCGUAGAUAUUCGGAGGAACACCAGUGGCGAAGGCGGCUCACUGGACCGUUGUUGACGCUGAGGUGCGAAAGCGUGGGGAGCAAACAGGAUUAGAUACCCCAGUAGUCC
RNAcentral lists this ribosomal RNA (425 nucleotides) under uncultured bacterium. Its description in RNAcentral is "partial 16S ribosomal RNA". It matches the Rfam family "Bacterial small subunit ribosomal RNA", at positions 354 to 796 of the family's 1533-position model. The record is from RNAcentral.